AUCGGUGACAGGUGGUGGCAUGGGUUGUCGUCAGCUCGUGUCGUGAGAUGUGGGUUAAGUCCCGCAACGAGCGCAACCCCUAUUGUUAGUUGCCAUCAUUCAGUUGGGCACUCUAGCGAGACUGCCGGUAAUAAACCGGAGGAAGGUGGGGAUGACGUCAAAUCAUCAUGCCCCUUAUGACCUGGGCUACACACGUGCUACAAUGGUUGGUACAACGAGUUGCGAGUCGGUGACGGCGAGCUAAUCUCUUAAAGCCAAUCUCAGUUCGGAUUGUAGGCUGCAACUCGCCUACAUGAAGUCGGAAUCGCUAGUAAUCGCGGAUCAGCACGCCGCGGUGAAUACCGUUCCCGGGCCUU
RNAcentral lists this ribosomal RNA (356 nucleotides) under uncultured Streptococcus sp. RNAcentral describes it as "bacterial SSU rRNA". It matches the Rfam family "Bacterial small subunit ribosomal RNA", at positions 1027 to 1382 of the family's 1533-position model. The record is from RNAcentral. Lineage: Bacteria; Bacillati; Bacillota; Bacilli; Lactobacillales; Streptococcaceae.